UACAGAGGGGGCAAGCGUUGUUCGGAAUUACUGGGCGUAAAGGGCGCGUAGGCGGCCUUCUAAGUCGAACGUGAAAUCCCCGGGCUCAACCCGGGAACUGCGUCCGAUACUGGGAGGCUUGAAUCCGGGAGAGGGAUGUGGAAUUCCAGGUGUAGCGGUGAAAUGCGUAGAUAUCUGGAGGAACACCGGUGGCGAAGGCGGCAUCCUGGACCGGCAUUGACGCUGAGGCGCGAAAGCCAGGGGAGCAAACGGG
This 253-nucleotide ribosomal RNA is filed under the name uncultured bacterium. RNAcentral's name for it is "partial 16S ribosomal RNA". It matches the Rfam family "Bacterial small subunit ribosomal RNA", at positions 524 to 776 of the family's 1533-position model. The record is from RNAcentral.